UACUAGAGUAGCACUCGCAUAUCAAUAAGCGGAGGAAAAGAAACUAACAAGGAUUCCCUUAGUAACGGCGAGUGAAGCGGGAAGAGCUCAAAUUUGAAAUCUUCAAGGUUUUACCUUGACGAAUUGUAGUUUAAAGAAGUGUUUUCUGUUGAAGUUUUGGUAAAAGUUCUUUGGAAUAGGACAUCAUAGAGGGUGAGAAUUCCGUAUUUGGUCAUUCCUCCUAGCGUUGUGAUACACUUUCAACGAGUCGGAUUGUUUGGGAAUGCAGUCCAAAAUGGGUGGUAAAUUUCAUCUAAAGCUAAAUAUUGGCGAGAGACCGAUAGCGAACAAGUACCGUGAGGGAAAGAUGAAAAGAACUUUGAAAAGAGAGUUAAACAGUACGUGAAAUUGUCAAAAGGGAAGCGUUUGACACCAGUGUUGUUUUCUCGAAAAUCAAUUAAAAAAGGCCGGAUUUUGUGUUGUAUUGACUUUAUCAGCUUUCUGCACUUUUUUCCUGUCUUUUUUAAUGCACUUUUCGUUUAACAAGUCAACAUCAAUUUCUUUUGUUGUAAAAGGGUCAUUGGAAGGUGGCUUUCUUUUCGGAGAAAGUGUUUAUAGCCUUUGGCCUCUGCAAUCGGAGAGAUUGAGGUCUGCAGCGUAGAUCCUUCGGGGUUAGAUGCAUUUGUGCUAAGCUAUAGCCUUUCAUAGACAACUUGUUGACUAUGAUCAGUCAUGUAGCUUACUCGCUUAUGUCAUUUUACCUACGCUUAGGAUGUUGAAGAUGUAGCACAUCAU
Molecule: ribosomal RNA, 774 nt
Filed under: uncultured Neocallimastigales
Lineage: Eukaryota; Fungi; Neocallimastigomycota; Neocallimastigomycetes; Neocallimastigales
Description: partial large subunit ribosomal RNA
Rfam family: Eukaryotic large subunit ribosomal RNA
Source: RNAcentral